Molecule: microRNA, 21 nt
Filed under: Chiloscyllium plagiosum (whitespotted bambooshark)
Lineage: Eukaryota; Metazoa; Chordata; Chondrichthyes; Orectolobiformes; Hemiscylliidae
Also listed under: 1 other name
Description: microRNA cpl-miR-142a
Source: RNAcentral
UCCAUAAAGUAGAAAGCACUA